ACUGGGAGGGAACUGGGAGCGCUUUCCCUCCCGGCACCGCUCUGACUGGGAGCACUGGGAGGGAACUGGGAGCGCUUUCCCUCCCGGCACCGCUCUGACUGGGAGCACUGGGAGGGAACUGGGAGCAAACAGCGCCCGGACGCGGCUGCAGCCGGCGGGGGGCGGGGGCAAGGCGAAGGGCGUGGUUAUGCAAAUCGUGGAGCGAUCGCGCGCUGGGAUUGGUGGGCGGGAGCAGCGCGGGGUUUACUCGGUCACGUGAGACCCGGGGGUGGCCGGAGCGAUGGCGGCGGCGUCCGGGACGCUGAACUGGGCAGCGGGGACGGCGGAACAGAGGAAUAACACUGGACCGAGUGGGACACCGACUGCGGGCCGACACCGAACAGGGUGACACCGGGACGGGGAUGAUCCCGGGACACGGGGGUGACACCGAGCAGCCGGGAAACGGACCAGCGGGGGACACCGGAGCGAGGUGACACCGGCGGGUGUUCCUAGAGACCGAGUGGCUCCCGAGCCACGGCACCGGGUACAGCACGGCCGAGGCGGCUCCAGCGCCGGUGCCAGUAGCAGAGGAGGAGCUGCGGCGCCGCCUCAAGUAAUUCCUCAUGAACCCCUGUGACAAGUAGCGGGCCCGCAUGUUGUGGUGCUUUGAAUCCAUGUUUGCCCACUGUUCUCCCUAAUCCCCUCACUUUCCCAGUUACCAAUUUUCUCAAGCCCUUCCCUAACCUCCUCCCUUCCAAGCUGUUAAUCCUCCCUGUCCCUUUCUCCAGAGAGUUCUGUGUCUGUCUUGUUGCCCUCGACACCCCAUUUGUUACUUCGUAUUAUUCCCCCCCACUCCUUUUUCUCUAAUACGCUCAUAAGCUAUUUGCCUCACCCUGUACUCCUCUCUUGCCAUAUCCUCAUUGGUUCACUUUCCUGCACCCCUCCUCCUGAGCUGCUGUAUAAAAACUUGUGUUCACCCCUCCCCCAAUCUUGUCUGGGAGCUCAGGAAUAAAUCCAUCUUGUUCUACUCCAA
Non-coding RNA from Taeniopygia guttata (zebra finch), 1012 nucleotides. The record is from RefSeq and is a predicted model, not a curated record. Lineage: Eukaryota; Metazoa; Chordata; Aves; Passeriformes; Estrildidae.